Molecule: ribosomal RNA, 460 nt
Filed under: uncultured bacterium
Lineage: Bacteria
Description: partial 16S ribosomal RNA
Rfam family: Bacterial small subunit ribosomal RNA
Source: RNAcentral
CCUACGGGAGGCAGCAGUGAGGAAUAUUGGACAAUGGGCUUAAGCCUGAACCAGCCAAGCCGCGUGAGGGAAGAAUGCCCUAUGGGUUGUAAACCUCUUUUGUCAGGGAGAAAAGCCGGCUACGUGUAGCCGGACUGAGAGUACCUGAAGAAAAAGCAGCGGCUAACUCCGUGCCAGCAGCCGCGGUAAUACGGAGGAUGCGAGCGUUAUCCGGCUUUAUGGGGUUUAAGGGGAGCGUAGGCGGAAUGCGAAGUCAGCGGUAAAAGCGCGGGGCUCAACCUCGCUCCGCCUUUGAGACUGGCGUUCUUGAGUGGGCGAGAGGUAUGCGGAAUGCGUGGUGUAGCGGUGAAAUGCAUAGAUAUCACGCAGAACGCCGAUGGCGAAGGCAGCAUACCGGCGCCCUACUGACGCUGAAGCACGAAAGCGUGGGUAUCGAACAGGAUUAGAUACCCCAGUAGUC